RNAcentral lists this ribosomal RNA (471 nucleotides) under Triticum aestivum (bread wheat). Its description in RNAcentral is "partial small subunit ribosomal RNA". Lineage: Eukaryota; Viridiplantae; Streptophyta; Magnoliopsida; Poales; Poaceae. The record is from RNAcentral.
AUGGUCAAUGGAUGGAAGGAAAGAGCCCUCUCUUAUGGGGAUAACGAAGCUUUGAUGAAACCGGUGGCCCAAGCCAUCCCAACAUAUGCGAUGGGUGUUUUCAAAUUCCCCCAAAAAAUCUGCAAGGGGAUCACUGAUGCAAUGUCACAAUAUUGGUGGGGUGAUGAGGAGAACUAGUGAAGGCUGCAUCGGUUUGCAUGGUGGAAAAUGUGUGUGCAAAAAGAGAGAGGUGGUACGGGGUUCAGAGAUGUGCAUAGUUUUAAUAUAGCAACGAUAGUUAAACAAUGUUGGAGGCUGAUUGAAAAUUAUGAUUCACUCUAUGCUAGAGUAUUAAGAGCAAGAUACUAUCCGAGCAGUGACUUGUUAGACUAUGAAUUGAAAAAGGGUCAUCCUGUUGGGGAACGUUGCAGAAAAUUAAAAUUUUUCCUACGGUUUCACCAAGAUCCAUCUAUGAGUUCAUCUAAGCAAUGA